CAGCAGCCGCGGGAAAACGUAGGUGGCAAGCGUUGUCCGGAAUUAUUGGGCGUAAAGCGCGCGCAGGUGGUUUAAUAAGUCUGAUGUGAAAGCCCACGGCUCAACCGUGGAGGGUCAUUGGAAACUGUUAAACUUGAGUGCAGGAGAGAAAAGUGGAAUUCCUAGUGUAGCGGUGAAAUGCGUAGAGAUUAGGAGGAACACCAGUGGCGAAGGCGGCUUUUUGGCCUGUAACUGACACUGAGGCGCGAAAGCGUGGGGAGCAAACAGGAUUAGAUACCCCCGUAGUCCCUGUCUCUUAUAC
Molecule: ribosomal RNA, 301 nt
Filed under: uncultured bacterium
Lineage: Bacteria
Description: partial 16S ribosomal RNA
Rfam family: Bacterial small subunit ribosomal RNA
Source: RNAcentral